RNAcentral lists this ribosomal RNA (253 nucleotides) under uncultured bacterium. RNAcentral describes it as "partial 16S ribosomal RNA". It matches the Rfam family "Bacterial small subunit ribosomal RNA", at positions 524 to 776 of the family's 1533-position model. The record is from RNAcentral.
UACGUAGGGGGCAAGCGUUAUCCGGAUUUACUGGGCGUAAAGGGAGCGCAGGCGGCGCGCCAAGUCUGAUGUGAAACCCCGGGGCUCAACCCCGGGCAUGCAUUGGAAACUGGCGGGCUGGAGUGCCGGAGAGGUAAGCGGAAUUCCUAGUGUAGCGGUGAAAUGCGUAGAUAUUAGGAGGAACACCAGUGGCGAAGGCGGUCUGCUGGACAGCAACUGACGCUGAGGCGCGAAAGCGUGGGGAGCAAACAGG